AGCAGAGCUCCAGGCUAGAAGCCAAGUCACACAGGGUAUGAGCAGCUUCAGAAAUAACCACCAUUCAGGUUUGUUUACUGCAAGGAGCUCUCGAAGGAAACCAUCAAAUUUAGGAAAACUAAGUUGAGAUGCUGGAGUGGAGCACAGAGAAGCAACAGGAAGAUGAGAUUUUCACUACUGCAAUGUCUUCUACAGGUUUUCCUCUGCCUCUGUACCUGCAGGAAGAAAAUCUCUUGGCAAGCACCUGGUUGUGGACUUUGUUUCCAUUUGGACCAUACUGCUUCCUGCUGAAAAUGAACAACUCACUUCACUGGAAACUUUCUACAAUUUGCUCAGGUUCAUAAUUUUCAAGGACAGAGAAGAUUCUGAAGAUGUGAAAUAACUAUUUUUGGGUCUCUAAGUUUACUGUCAGUCUCUGAAUUUCUUUUGUAAUAUACCAGUGGGGUAUCAUUCUGAUUCAUAUUUCUGCAUUCUCUGUGUUCAGUCUCAUAGAAUGCCUUGUUAGGAUCAAGAGCAGGAGAAAAUGAUGAACAUGCAGACAGGUUUCCCUGAAUAAAGCAUUGUUCAUCCUUUGGAUUCAAGCAGUUAGCUAAAAAAUUAGAUUUUUCUAGAGAGAAGGAAAAACUGGAUGAAACGGGAGCAUCUUCCAUCCAAAUUUACAUACUUCUGAAGGCUGAUAAAUCUAAUCUUCCUGAAUAUACAAAAAAAUCAAAUAGUAGGAGAUCUCUCCUUUGCCUAUGCCUCCAGUCACAUCUUGCACUCUGGUAACUAAUCUCUCUCUCUUUCUGGACUUCUGCCCCACGUCUGUAUGUCCUCUGCUUCCUUCUCCUCACUUCAGCAAAUAUUCCUCAAUGGCCAGGCACUUGCCUGUGCUGUUUGGGUGAUGACAUGUUUCUUGGCUUUGAUUUGGAGGCUGCUAUAGUUUCAUAAAUGACUGUAAGUGCUUCUUUUCAGCUCUCUGGAAUGAAGGGCAGCUGUUACACCUUGGGCCUCAAUAACAUUUUGUCCAGCCAAGACCGACUUCUUCACCACCUCAUGGAGCCAGCACUGCUCCUGAACACUGUUGGCUUGUCCUCUGGGCUCUAACAUCCUUCUGGGUCUGCUGUUUUCCUCUUCUCCCAUUGCUCUGAUACUUCCUUCAUCUCAAACAGACACAAAAAUACUCAUGCACAUUGUCACUGAAAUGCCCUUCAAUGCUUGCUCUUCCUUCAGGUUUUAAAACCUGGCUGUAUUUAGAAUUGAGAUUGCUGUUGUUUCAGCUCUUUGGUUCCAUGCUACUGCUUGUAUUAAUCAUUUUAAGUAGUGGACAAUUUAAACUCCCAGAUUUUUUAGUGGAAAAUUUGAACUCCCAGUUUUUUUUUUAGUGGACAAUUUGAACUCCCUACCUGAUUUUUUUUUUUUUUUUUCAGUUUCUUUGCUCAUACAGACUAACAGCUUGGAUGCUGGCUUGGUUCUGAGAAACAGAACCUGCCCCAUGUGACGCCCAGUGUUUUUUCAGAAGUUAUUCUCUGCAUUCUUAAUGGUCUUUUAUAGAGAACCUCUCAAAACAAAAGUAGGUAAAAUUGCACCCAUCAGAAAUUGUGCAUGUUUGGUCCUGGAGCAGAAGAUCAAUAGCAAAAGUUUGUUGAGCUUUUUACUUCUGACUUGACAGGAAACUAUCAGAGGACAUAUCAGAGAAGGCAGAGAUGAAUGAGGGAAGGAUUCCUAGAACAGUGGAGGAAUUCCUGCUUUACAAACUCUUUUUAGGGGAACAGCACUAGUUCUUCAAAGAAAGGAAUGGCUCUGCUGCCAAGUGUUUCAGAAUAUUAAUGAUCCAGUUUUUGCCAAGUGUUUGGAAACACAACCAUGGAAUGGUUUGGGUUGGAGGGACCUUUAAAGGUCAUCUAGUCCAAGCCCCUUGCUGUAAGCAGAGACGUGUAAUUCCAAGAGGUUGUUCAGACUCCUGUCCAAACUCGCCUUUAACGUUUCCAGGGAUGAGGCUUCUGCCACUACCAGAGAUGCAGCUCGGGUAAAUCACUUGGGAAUCCUCUCCCUGACCUCAGCUCCCAUCUAAACCAGAUCUCAACAGAGCUUUAAAGAUUUCUUCAGAAAAGUAACAGGAACAGUUUCAGCUCAGUGCUGGGAAAUGAGACACUCGGCACUAACAGAUGUAAUAUUCAUCUCGUCGCAUACUAGGUUGCCCUACUGAUCUUUGAGCUGCUCACACAAAAAGCAUCCUAUUGAGUUUCUGCUGAAAUCUCUUGAAUGCUCAGCAGCACAACCACGCAGAGGAAUAUACAGAACAGGAAAUUAUUUUUCCCCCAAAAUUUUGAUGCACUGUUUACAGAUAAAAUGGCAAAGUGCAGUAAAUAUAUGCUUAUGAGCACAUUUGAUUGUACACUUAUAAAAAUAUUCAGCUUAGAAACAUUUUAUUUGAAAUUUCUGAAUAUUAAAACAUAAAUGAAAUUUUGUUAUCUUUGUGUACUCAACUUUAUUUGAAAUGCUAUUAAAGCUUCAGACUAUUCAAACAAUAAUACUCUGGAUGCCUAGAAAGCCUACAAGGCUUCAUGAGGGCUUUUUUCAGGCUCUUCACAGACAUUAAUUAAAGCUGUGAGAAACUCUGUGCUCUUGGUACUAUUUACAGCUAUUUAGCACUACCUCAUGUGCAUCAUCUAAGGUCAAACAGCAAAUCAGUAACAAAACCAGUGUCAGAAUUGGAGUAUCAGAACUGUUGAGACCUGUCUGAGCUAUUGGGCAUUGUCUUCCACUAGACCAUACUAUCAGUUAUGAAAAUAACUUUUGAUUGCUCAUGCAAGUACAGUUACUAUUAAUACUUAUUAAAAAAAGACUGUGUAACCAGUCUGAAGGAAAACCCCCUAAACUUGUAAAUGUGCUAUUGACAGGCAAUUUCAUUAAAUCUGGUUUCACUUUAUUUGGGUUAUAUAUUCCAUUUCAUAAAAACCUUAUCGUAAAGAUCUAAAUCUGUGAAGAAAGACAUUAAGCAAUUCUUUAUUAUCUCUGCUGGUCUCUUAAAACAAAUCACAUCUAUCCCUUCCUCUAUUAUUCCAGGGAGUGCAAGGGCUGAUGUAUUUUGGGAUAAUUGCUUUGGCAUCCCAGGUUUAUUCUGUCACUGCUGCUGUGCAAGUGCAAUAUUAAAGGAGUAAUCAUCUUUUUUUCUGUAUGGCCCAUCACCAUGGUAUAUAAGCAAUAUACAGUCUGCAGAUUUUGUAAUAGGUAAACCUUUCAAAAAUUUUAUUGGCAAUUUUUUUGAUAAAGACACAUGUCAGACUGCACCCUGUUUAUUCAUACUCUGUAAGGUGUUCUCUAGCUUCGUAAUUUAUUAACAAUGGUCAUUUGUUACACUGACAACUUAGAAAAACAGAUUACUUAGAAGUUAUGAUGGGGUAAUUUUGCUUCUUGGAGCCUCUGCAAUGAAUCACUAUUUUCCCUCCCUCCCUUGACCUAAUUUCAAAAUCAUAUACCUGUGUAAAAUAUUGUGAUGAGAAUUGUGUCUAAUUAUCUUCUAAAUUUUUCUUUUAAUUGCUAGAAGGAUACUCAUUCUUGAAUAAGGGAGGUAUUAAUGAUGUAAUAGUGUUAGAGAGUCCUUGAAAUCUAGAUUAAUUAUUAGUUGUGUGGACUUCUGAGAGUUUUUGAUGUAUUCAUUUGCAUUCACAAAGAUGGCUUUUUAAUUAAAGAGAGUUUUUGAACUUAUACAAAUGAGCCUUUUGCAAAUGUCCCUAGAAACGUGGAAAGUGUUAAAAGUGAGAAGAAUCAAAAUUUUCCUGAAACAUUACCUCCUGCUGCAAACACUGAAUGACCAAAAGCAUUUGAAACUCCAGACCUCAUGUCAGCAGCUCCAGAGGAUCUCCAAGACCAAGAAGAAUUAUAAAAGCCUGUGCUUGUUUCAAAUACCACAGAAAUGGUUCUGUACAAAAGAGCAAUGUCAGAAUAUCUGAUUUCCAUUUCAGCUUCCACCACAGCAUAUGUUUCUACCUUUACCUGCAUGCUUAUUUUUUCCUCUUUAGAAAUUAGAUCCUCUUUCCAAAAGACUCCAGUGUUAAAUGUUUCCUCAUUGUAACUCUUAUGAUCCCUUGUUGCCACCUCAAACUUCUGGUUUUUCUUUCUUUCUUUUUCUUUGUUCAAGAUCAAGAGAACAAACCGAAAGCUCUCAGUCUCCAGGUCUGUUUCACAGAUUUAUAAAUGGUACCAUAUUUCCUGUAUUACAGCCAUUAAGCUCUUAAUGCAGCCUAACAUCUAAUUUACAAUUUUGACUGCUGCUACAUAUUGAAUUUGAGCAGAUGUCUUUACUGAGCUGUCCAUAGUGAUGCCUAAAUCAUUUUCUUCAGAAGUUCACAGCAAAUUCAGAUCGCAGAGAGUGAAUACUUAGUUUAAUUUGUACCUUCUGAAGCAAAUUAUUUUGUAAAGAAGUGGGAUCUCAUCUGACAGAAUACUGUCUGAUCUCCUCAUUUUUGUGAGAUCUACCCAGACCCACUCAUACACCUCUGCCAGGGCUGGCUGCCUAAAUUCAGUUUUCAGUAUGAGCAUAACACCAGCCCCGUCCCACAACUGUGGAUCUAUUCCAGAACUGGGACCUUUAAACCUCCUCCAUGGUCCUGUCUCUUCCACAGCUCCCUCUCACACACAAAACUGUAAUCCAGAAUUACAGGUGUAUUUAGUUUGGUAUUGUGAUAACUUUUUAAAGUCUAUAUCACAAAUACCCACUGAUCUUCCCAUGCCUUGUCUUGUUGAAGUCUUUGUAAGAGGGAAUAAAACAGAUUUAUUUGCAUCUAUUUCCUCUUAUGCUCUUCUUGAAGAUAAAGUAGUUCAGAGUGCCACUAUAAUCUUCAUAACUUAUGGCCAUUAUACUAUAUCUAGUAUAUAGUGCAUAUAUAUAUAUAUACACUAUAGUAUAUACUAUAUAUAUGUGGUAUAUAAUAAUAUAUAGUAUAAUGGCCAGCACUAGCUACCUGGCCAAAUAUACUAUAUGCACUUAUAGAGCAUCUAUUUCAUGUUUCAUUUCCAGGAGAAUAAAUGCUUGACCUAAAUUUCCCUAAAACAAAAUAAAUAACUGACUGAAUCAGGGCUAUUUUUAAAUUUUUACUGUUGUUCAUGACCUCUGUUUUCAGAUCUUUUGUCUCUGAUGAUGUCUAAACUUAAUGACAUGUGCCAGGUACAGGGUAAUGUAGGUAUUAAUUUUUCAAUAUUUUUGGAAAAGAACAUUAAAUGCCAUUCUGUUUCCCAUUCCACUUCUAUGUUUAUUCAUAUUUUAAUUUUUGAAAGUGCUUCUUUUCUGUUCUGAGUCAUUCAAAAAAUUAAUUUCAGCCUCUGGUUACUUGUUUUUCCAAUUUCUUGUAGUUCUCAGACAUGGAACCAUAUAUUCUCACCUUCCAGAAACUUUUCCUUCUUUGCUUCACUUGAGGAAAAGUUUAAUUUUCAAAUCAUAUUUUCUGUUGCUUGAAUAGACAUUUGCAACUUGGGUUUUGACUGUUUCUUCCCAGGUAGCUUUCCUGCUCUGUAAUUGCAUUUGGUAGUGAAAUGUGAACACUAUCCAUGGUUCUGUCAUUAUUUCCUUAAACAUAUUCUGUGUUGAUUUCCUUCCCUGAAUUUUCCCUUUAGCAUAUUUCCACGGAGAUAAACAAUGUUUUUUUACCCUUCCCUUUCACAUGCAUACAUAUCUAGGUGUAAAUUCCUUAAAGGCCAAAUUGUGCUUCUUCAUGCCAUGAGCACAGUGUUAUUUAAUGUCUCACACCGUGUGCCGGCUCAUGUCCUGCAGCAGAGGGGCUGUUCUGAUCAGCAGCACCUCCUGUCACCCAGAUAUUCCUUUCCCUGACCAUCUUCUGAGGCAAUGCUCAACCAGCUAAGCCAGGACAGACAAAGGCAUUUGUUAUUCACCAAAUUUUUUGUUGUCCUCCUUCUGGUGUUUUCCAGUGACCUGCAGCAUUGGAAUUGUUUCUACUGCAGUUCCUGCUGCUCUCGGUCUUGCCGUGAAGUGGGAAUUUUACCUGUGAGGUUUCUGCAUCAAGGUCUGCAUGAAGACCUUGAGACCCCCUGAAGUUCUCCUUGAAAAACAAGAGGAAGAAAAACACACACCUGAAUGAAUAUUUAAUAGCUGGAGAGUCAGGUCCCAGGAGAUGAGACCUGGAGGCUCAAGUUGUGAUUGUGUCUGUUUUUGAGGGGCACCUUAAACCUGAACUUCUGACAGCUGGGUGAAAGAUGCAGUCAACAGACUUGUGGAGUCUGUCUUAAAGCCGCUUCCCUUUUUUGGAAUAAAAGUAAACAUUAUUAUUACAAAAUGUGAGUGAGUUAAUGAUCAUUGGUGCCAUCACUAAUUUGUCUUUCUUGUUUUCUUUGAAAGCUUUAUUCAAAUUGAUAUUUUUCUGGGAAAGAUUUUGCUUUCUCCAAGACAAACUCAGUUGGAAAUACUAGAGAGUCUAAAAAUUUCCCCACAUAUGUAAUUCCAUUGAGUCACCUUCUUUUAACCUUCACAGGUGAAUAUCUGCACUUAGCUUCAGAAAACAUUUUGCUUUCCUGCUGAGUUGCAGACAUUUACCCAUCCCUGAUUUGAAAUAUAGAUUUUGCUCAUAUACUUAGACCCACAGUUGGUGCUGAACCAAAUUCCUUGAUCUAGCACUUUUAUUGUGUACAGAAUUCAUCUGGUUUUAACAUUUCCUCAAAUCUUUCGUUUAAAUAAAUCUUCCCAAAAAAAUUCAUGGUGUUCCUUGAAGGGACAAUGUUUUCAUGUUGCUUAAAAUGUAAACCAUCCGUGCAAUGUAAAUGCAAACCUCCAGGCAAUUCAUUUUCUAAUUUGUUUUCUCCCGCAUUGGAAACACAAGAACACGUACUUCAUUUACAUCUAUUAUUACUAUAUUAUAGAUAUUGUUAUUAUUAUUAACAGUAUUAUUAUUAUUUACUCUGGGGGUGCUAGGUACCCUCAGGCAGAUACAUUGUAAAUUGAAACCAGAUGUCCAACGAAUUGACGGCAAGAUUUCCAAGCAGGACUGAAAUCUUUUCCUAAAAUUCACAAUGCUGCAGACAAACCAACGUGAGUCUGUGUGACAAACAGGGAACAGACCACGGCAAGCCUGAAAUUAUGUCACAUAUAGCCUUGUGUUUACACAAAACUCCCACUUUUCACAGUUUUAAGUUUGCUCUUCAAACACAAAGUGAAAAAAUAACAAAACAAUUAGAGAAAGUAAGAGGCAACAGUAAGAUUAGAAAAUAGGGAAGGUACAUUCGGAAGCCAUUAACAA
Molecule: non-coding RNA, 7229 nt
Organism: Taeniopygia guttata (zebra finch)
Lineage: Eukaryota; Metazoa; Chordata; Aves; Passeriformes; Estrildidae
Source: RefSeq, a predicted model, not a curated record